RNAcentral lists this ribosomal RNA (598 nucleotides) under Trichoderma erinaceum. RNAcentral's name for it is "eukaryotic LSU rRNA". The stretch from base 217 to 370 matches the Rfam family "5.8S ribosomal RNA". Lineage: Eukaryota; Fungi; Ascomycota; Sordariomycetes; Hypocreales; Hypocreaceae. The record is from RNAcentral.
UCUCGUUGGUGACCAGCGGAGGGAUCAUUACCGAGUUUACAACUCCCAAACCCAAUGUGAACCAUACCAAACUGUUGCCUCGGCGGGGUCACGCCCCGGGUGCGUCGCAGCCCCGGAACCAGGCGCCCGCCGGAGGGACCAACCAAACUCUUUACUGUAGUCCCCUCGCGGACGUUAUUUCUUACAGCUCUGAGCAAAAAAUUCAAAAUGAAUCAAAACUUUCAACAACGGAUCUCUUGGUUCUGGCAUCGAUGAAGAACGCAGCGAAAUGCGAUAAGUAAUGUGAAUUGCAGAAUUCAGUGAAUCAUCGAAUCUUUGAACGCACAUUGCGCCCGCCAGUAUUCUGGCGGGCAUGCCUGUCCGAGCGUCAUUUCAACCCUCGAACCCCUCCGGGGGGUCGGCGUUGGGGAUCGGGAACCCCUCAGACGGGAUCCCGGCCCCGAAAUACAGUGGCGGUCUCGCCGCAGCCUCUCCUGCGCAGUAGUUUGCACAACUCGCACCGGGAGCGCGGCGCGUCCACGUCCGUAAAACACCCAACUUUCUGAAAUGUUGACCUCGGAUCAGGUAGGAAUACCCGCUGAACUUAAGCAUAUCAAUA